RNAcentral lists this ribosomal RNA (494 nucleotides) under uncultured Sphingobacteriales bacterium. RNAcentral describes it as "bacterial SSU rRNA". It matches the Rfam family "Bacterial small subunit ribosomal RNA", at positions 886 to 1382 of the family's 1533-position model. The record is from RNAcentral. Lineage: Bacteria; Pseudomonadati; Bacteroidota; Sphingobacteriia; Sphingobacteriales.
AGCCCGCUCAGAAACUUAAAGGAAUUGACGGGGCCGCACAAGCGGUGGAGCAUGUGGUUUAAUUCGAUGAUACGCGAGGAACCUUACCUGGGCUCGAACGUAAGAUGACUGUAGGUGAAAGCUUACAUCUCUUCGGAGCAUUUUACGAGGUGCUGCAUGGUUGUCGUCAGCUCGUGCCGUGAGGUGUCGGGUUAAGUCCCAUAACGAGCGCAACCCCUACCUUUAGUUGCCAUCAGGUAAUGCUGGGGACUCUAAAGGAACUGCCUACGCAAGUAGUGAGGAAGGCGGGGAUGACGUCAAAUCAGCACGGCCCUUACGUCCAGGGCUACACACGUGCUACAAUGGCCGAUACAGAGGGCAGCUACCUGGUGACAGGAUGCAAAUCUCCAAAGUCGGUCUCAGUUCGGAUCGGAGUCUGCAACCCGACUCCGUGAAGUUGGAUUCGCUAGUAAUCGCGCAUCAGCCAUGGCGCGGUGAAUACGUUCCCGGGCCUU